CCGAUUUUCUUCAAGCGAGAAUGGAACCGGAACUGGCCGUUCCUCGUCGGGUUCGCCAUCACCGGAACCCUGAUCACCAAGUUCUCUCUCGGCCUCACUGAGGAAGAUGCCAAGAACUCGCCUUUCGUUCAGAGGCACAAGAGGUGAUUUAUGUUUGGUGUACAAGCCACCUUUGUGCUAGCAUUGUGGAGAAGACGGCCCUCGUGCUAUUCUCAAGGAUCAUAAUAACGGAAGAGAGUUGUUCUAGAUACUCUUUUUUGAAUUUUCUGUUAUGUUUUGGAUGACUUGAAUAACAUGAGAAGAAAUACUUAUACUCAUUGGUUUUUAAUUUUGUGCGUUUGGCCAGACAUUAUUCAAACCAUGAAACAAAGUUGUGUUAGAGUUUCACGUUACUGUUACAGGCGAAAUAUCAUUUUCCCUUGCUUCU
This is an RNA transcript of Pyrus x bretschneideri (Chinese white pear), 427 nucleotides long. It is a transcript of the gene named ATP synthase small subunit 6, mitochondrial, with no coding region annotated. The transcript has 3 exons. The record is from RefSeq and is a predicted model, not a curated record. Lineage: Eukaryota; Viridiplantae; Streptophyta; Magnoliopsida; Rosales; Rosaceae.